UCUGUUUGUCCAAAUUGUCUGUGGUUAUUACAACACUGCUUGUUUUCUCUACAAAUUCCUUGCACGCUUUUUUUUUUCUUUUUUUUUUUUGGAUUCUUCAUCAGGGUAGCUUUGCGUGUGUAUAGUUGCUCAAGUUUGUGUUUUCAUUUCAGCCCUGCUCCCUCCAUCCUGCCUGCGCAGGACUGCUGAUGUGAAGCAUGAAGGAUCAGCUGGAUUCAGCUGAAGGAGGAAAUGUUGGCUCCUCUACUCCUGAUAACAAGAGGAACAGUGACCACCUUUUAUCAGAAGCGCAGGCUCGUGUUCUUGCCAUCUGGAAUGUGUGCAGCCAGACAGACCCGCCUUUUUUCAAGCUGAGUUGAGCGGUCGCUGCUCUGGAGAACUUGCUUCUUGCACAGCUGCCACAGACAGACUGCAGGCACCCGGUCAACCAGAGGAGGUCGCAAUGGAAACCCUGCCGACGGACACCCUCCCUCCCAGGACCAUGCGAUGUUCAGUCGUUCAUCAUCUUCACAGGGCUCAAAGAUGCAGUCGGCACUGGCACAGUCACGGUUAGAUUCCAGAGUGUAGGGUACAUUACCACACCUCACUCUAGGACAGGGAUGGUCAAAUCUGGCCCUCGAGGCCAGUAGUACUGCUGGUUUUCAUGCUUCUCCUCUGAUCAGGACUGAUUUAUCUAUGACCAGAUCUAUGAGUAGCCAUGGACCCAGCAGUAUAAGGAAAAUAGGCCGGUUUAGUACACCUGUAGAAUUACAGUAUUCCAGGCUUACAGACACAAAGAAACAGACAUCACUCAAGAAAAUCAGUAUGUUUAUAGGUACUUAGGCACUAAUCUUUCUGUUAUGGGAAAAUGCUUACAGUCCAAUGAUACAUUAGGCACACUUGAUUUUAUUAAUUAGCAGCUCAACAAGAUCUCUAACUGUUGAAUGACGUGUGUUUUGUUAGGGUUGGAGUGAAGACCUACAUGAUGGUAGAUCUCCAGGAACAGGAUUGGGUCAACCCUGCUCUGGCUACUCAGUGGCAUCGAUCAAACAAUUUCCUAUCAGGCCUGUUGUAUUGGGCAGACCAAAGUGAAGAUGUCCAUUAUAAAGGUAAGUUUGCGGUUACCUCUUUUGUCAGUGCAGACUGUAACAGAGCUGUAUUCAUGAUUUUGUGAAAUACACCAGACAAAUGGAUCAGCUGAUUAACCAUCCACUGGCUUUCUGUUCUCUGUUCCAGCUCAGAUAUUCAUCGAUUAAAACAGCAUUUCCCAACCCAAUUCUUUAAAAAAGUAAAAGUUAUAUAUCCAGACAUAGCGAUGAAGAGAUACUGAAUACUUACUAUUUUCUUUUAGGUUCAGUUCUUUUAGGUUAAGUCUACUUUUUAAAACUUUUUUUUACAGUCCCUAUAUAGCAAAAUGAAAAAAGUUUACAUUUUUAUUUCAUGAGCCAUCUCAUACAAAACCACUUAUUAAUAAUUAUUUAUAGGUAUUAAUAAUUAAUGUUGUCUGCAGUGAUAUUGUUGGUACUGUUGAGUUUUUGGUUUGGGUUUGGAAUGUCUGUAUAGAUUAGUUACGUGUGUGUGUGUGUGUGUGUGUGUGAAUAAAAAAAUAAUAAAAAUGUUGAUCACAAAAAAGUAAAAGUUAAAAACUUAAAUUAACAAAUCCCCAUUCAGAAAAGCCAAAAUAAAUGCAAUUAAAAUGCAUAUCACUUAAUUAAAACCCUGACAGAUCAUUUAGGCCUACCGUUGACAUGCCACAUCAAUGUCAUUACGUUGUUCACUUUUGAGAGUGGUGUGCUGUGAGAUCUCUCCCUCAGCUUCAAAAGGGAUACCUCAUGCAGAAAUGCAGCUGUAUUUUUUACAGGGGCAGAGGGAGAGAGAGAAAAUGUUGAGGUUUCAUUUUUGUUUCCCUGCUUCUUCACCAGAAACAAACUGCCACAGAACGGGCAGCUUCCUAAGCAUUACUUAAGCCAGGAGUAAUGCAUGAUGUAACGUUAAGGUGGGGCCUUAUUCCUCAGCCAUUUCCUCCUUGGUUUGCUCAUUUUAUAGGGACUUAGCUUUUUCAAAAAUGAGGUGGGGUCGUAUUUCUACUGAAUAUUUUACUAUUCGUUGGAAAUAUACAUUUUAAACCUCUGCUUUAAUGUGUUCAUUCCUUCAUUCCUAAGGGUUUUUCUUUCAUCUAGAGGUGCAAUAAUAAAAAAAAUAUAGAGACAUUUUGUACUGCCACAAGCAACUGACGUCACUGCAAAGUCCCUUAGCAAGUUCUCUCCAAAGCCAAAAAUAAAAAUCAAAAAUAUGGAAGAAUACUUUUAAUACAGUUUCUAUGUUAUUAUUAAUACGAGAGGUGAUGGAAAUGCAACUCCUGUGAAGGAAGAAGGAAUGGGGGAUGAACUCAGUCACGGUGAAGUCAAUCAAUCUGAAUUAUUCAAUUUGCCAUUGAUCUGAUUUGCAGAAGUUUGGCUUGGAGGGAAGAAGGCUCAUGGUGAACUCAUAUUUUUUUAACAGUGAUGGAACAGAUUGAAUGCUUUUGCAGAUGAAUCUCUCCAACACACACACACACACACACACACACACACACAGUAGUUCAGUUGUAGGGUUUCUCAGCAUCAGUGAGUCUCAACAUGGUGCCUAAAUCAGGUGCAGUUUCUAGUCAAGUCAAAUUGCAUUUGCAAUGCAGUGCAGAUAUAUUUGUCAAUUGCAGUGAUAUGCAAUUUUAUGCAUUUACAAAUAUUUUGAGUAGAUCAGUUUGACCUUUUAGAUACCUUAGGGCAAGGCUGCCCAGCCGUGCUCCAGUAGGUUCUACUAUCCAGGAGGUUUUCACUCCAGCCCUAACAAAACACACCCAAUUCAACAGCUAGAGAUCUUGUUGAGCUGUUAAAUGUCAUAGAAUCCGGAGUGCCAAAUAAGGGCUGAAAUCAAAACCUACACAGCAUCAGAUCUCCAAGCACAGAGUUGGGCAAUGCUGUCUUAGAGUUUUUGGUAUGGAUUAAUGUAUCAAUGGAAAAAAUGUAAAAUGUUUCCCAAAACAGAAAAAUUAAAAAGCCUUUAAUCUGUGCCUAUAAACAAACCGUUUUUCUUGA
Long non-coding RNA from Anguilla rostrata (American eel), 3056 nucleotides. RefSeq lists it as uncharacterized. The transcript has 4 exons. NCBI's taxonomy places the organism in Eukaryota, Metazoa, Chordata, Actinopteri, Anguilliformes, Anguillidae. The record is from RefSeq and is a predicted model, not a curated record.